UACGAAGGGGGCUAGCGUUGCUCGGAAUCACUGGGCGUAAAGGGUGCGUAGGCGGGUCUUUAAGUCAGGGGUGAAAUCCUGGAGCUCAACUCCAGAACUGCCUUUGAUACUGAGGAUCUUGAGUUCGGGAGAGGUGAGUGGAACUGCGAGUGUAGAGGUGAAAUUCGUAGAUAUUCGCAAGAACACCAGUGGCGAAGGCGGCUCACUGGCCCGAUACUGACGCUGAGGCACGAAAGCGAUGGGGA
RNAcentral lists this ribosomal RNA (245 nucleotides) under uncultured bacterium. RNAcentral's name for it is "partial 16S ribosomal RNA". It matches the Rfam family "Bacterial small subunit ribosomal RNA", at positions 524 to 768 of the family's 1533-position model. The record is from RNAcentral.